Molecule: ribosomal RNA, 599 nt
Filed under: Chaetomium sp.
Lineage: Eukaryota; Fungi; Ascomycota; Sordariomycetes; Sordariales; Chaetomiaceae
Description: eukaryotic LSU rRNA
Rfam family: Eukaryotic large subunit ribosomal RNA
Source: RNAcentral
ACCCGCUGAACUUAAGCAUAUCAAUAAGCGGAGGAAAAGAAACCAACAGGGAUUGCCCUAGUAACGGCGAGUGAAGCGGCAACAGCUCAAAUUUGAAAUCUGGCUUCGGCCCGAGUUGUAAUUUGCAGAGGAAGCUUUAGGCGCGGCACCUUCUGAGUCCCCUGGAACGGGGCGCCAUAGAGGGUGAGAGCCCCGUAUAGUUGGAUGCCUAGCCUGUGUAAAGCUCCUUCGACGAGUCGAGUAGUUUGGGAAUGCUGCUCAAAAUGGGAGGUAAAUUUCUUCUAAAGCUAAAUACCGGCCAGAGACCGAUAGCGCACAAGUAGAGUGAUCGAAAGAUGAAAAGCACUUUGAAAAGAGGGUUAAAUAGCACGUGAAAUUGUUGAAAGGGAAGCGCUUGUGACCAGACUUGCGCCGGGCGGAUCAUCCGGUGUUCUCACCGGUGCACUCCGCCCGGCUCAGGCCAGCAUCGGUUCUCGCGGGGGGAUAAAGGUCCUGGGAACGUAGCUCCUCCGGGAGUGUUAUAGCCCGGGGCGUAAUGCCCUCGCGGGGACCGAGGUUCGCGCAUCUGCAAGGAUGCUGGCGUAAUGGUCAUCAGCGAC